AACGAACGCUGGCGGCAGGCCUAACACAUGCAAGUCGAACGUGAAGCCACCUUCGGGUGGUGGAAAGUGGCAGACGGGUGAGUAACGCGUGGGAACGUGCCUUUCGGUUCGGAAUAACCUAGGGAAACUUGGGCUAAUACCGGAUACGCCCUUCGGGGAAAAGAUUUAUCGCCGAAAGAUCGGCCCGCGUCGGAUUAGCUAGUUGGUAGGGUAAUGGCCUACCAAGGCGACGAUCCGUAGCUGGUCUGAGAGGAUGACCAGCCACACUGGGACUGAGACACGGCCCAGACUCCUACGGGAGACAGCAGUGGGGAAUAUUGGACAAUGGGCGGAAGCCUGAUCCAGCCAUGCCGCGUGGGUGAAGAAGGCCCUAGGGUUGUAAACCCCUUUCAGCGGGGAAGAUAAUGACGGUACCCGCAGAAGAAGCCCCGGCUAACUCCGUGCCAGCAGCCGCCGUAA
This 459-nucleotide ribosomal RNA is filed under the name uncultured bacterium. RNAcentral describes it as "partial 16S ribosomal RNA". It matches the Rfam family "Bacterial small subunit ribosomal RNA", at positions 29 to 523 of the family's 1533-position model. The record is from RNAcentral.